Molecule: unclassified non-coding RNA, 345 nt
Filed under: uncultured fungus
Lineage: Eukaryota; Fungi
Description: partial contains 5.8S ribosomal RNA and internal transcribed spacer 2
Rfam family: 5.8S ribosomal RNA (bases 1-133)
Source: RNAcentral
UGGUUCUGGCAUCGAUGAAGAACGCAGCGAAAUGCGAUAAGUAAUGUGAAUUGCAGAAUUCAGUGAAUCAUCGAAUCUUUGAACGCACAUUGCGCCCGCCAGUAUUCUGGCGGGCAUGCCUGUCCGAGCGUCAUUUCAACCCUCGAACCCCUCCGGGGGGUCGGCGUUGGGGACUUCGGGAACCCCUAAGACGGGAUCCCGGCCCCUAAAUACAGUGGCGGUCUCGCCGCAGCCUCUCCUGCGCAGUAGUUUGCACAACUCGCACCGGGAGCGCGGCGCGUCCACGUCCGUAAAACACCCAACUUCUGAAAUGUUGACCUCGGAUCAGGUAGGAAUACCCGCUGA